GAAGUGCGAAACGUGUCAUGACUUGCAGAUUCCCGAGAGCUGACGAAUCUCUGAAUGCAAAUGGCGGCCGCUGAGACAUCGGCCAUGGAUUGCAGAGUGUAGUGGUUCCGACUCCUCAUCCAAUCGACACCGAUUGCAUCUGCGCUUGCAUAACUUCGCGAGCGUGAAAUGUCGAGUUAAGGGGUCUUCAACCCGAAGGCCACUUGACUACGGAUCUACAACACACCCCAUGUGUUGUCUUGGAAUUCACAUAUCAUUCAUCCCACCUCUGCAAUGCAGGAUUACCCGCUGAACUUAA
Molecule: unclassified non-coding RNA, 298 nt
Filed under: uncultured fungus
Lineage: Eukaryota; Fungi
Description: sequence contains ITS1
Rfam family: 5.8S ribosomal RNA (bases 1-102)
Source: RNAcentral